UUAUCUGUGACCGAAUGCCUGGAAACACGCGUUGUUGUGUCUGCUGCCGUUACACGAGGGCUGUCAGCACGGAGCCUGCGAGUGCUGGGCAGGCAGCAGGGAAGCCAGAGCGGUGCAGGGCUCAACCCAGAGGUUAUCCAAGUCAUCAGGAAGCAUCACGUUGGCUCCUGCAGCCUUCGGCAAAGACACAGCUCCUUUCACUGUAACCACAUCUGAGCCCGUGCAACAGGCAUUACUUAAUAACCCCGAGUAGAGAAACAGAAGAAAUUUUCUUUGAAACUCUCGGUCUCCUUUAUGCUGGCGCAGCAAUUUGGAUGAUGUGACUGGCUGAAGACUCUCUUCUUCACAAGAAAGUGAUUGCAGUUAUUAUUCGUAGAUUUUUCAAGGCUGGAUCCAGCUUUCUUUGUGUCACAAACCCUUAAGCUGAUCCGUGUCGCCCACCACUAGCAUUAAAGGUGAGGCUUUCUGACAUUGGGAAGAUAUUCAUUAGGAGGGUGAAAUCAGAGCAGAAGUUGCACAGCGCCUUGGGCAGUGCCUGGGAGCCCCUCUCCAGUUCCAGCGUUUCUUCUGUUUCUUCUCAAUGUGACGAAACCUGAGCAUGAAUGGGAAGAGUUCACUCGUAAUGCGGCCAGCCCCUGCGGUGCCGAGCUGAGAAAGUCUGUGGUUGUUAUUUCCUCCUGCGGGGUGUUUGUGGAUGACCAUCGCUGUCCCGAGAGCACCAGCCUGCGCAGCAGACAGCACGGUGCGGCCAGGCAGACGGUGGGCAGUGUCUGGGCAAACGUGGUGGUGUGUCCUGCUCAUGGCCAUGCCCAGCUUUGCCUAUUUGAUGUGCUGUCCCUACAUGAACAUUUCCUUAAUGGCCCUUUACCUCUGGAGCUGCAGCGGGCCAUGGAGCGAGCUGUGAUGCCAGGGCCACCCUCUGCACCCCAACCAGCAGUGGGUGCAGAAGCAGAUGCUGGAGGGGCAAAGCUGUGACAGCAAUCCCUGUCAUCCUGGAGGAGCAGAGAGGUGGUCCCGACCCACACCCAGUGCUGCUGAGUGCACCCCGAGGGGAGCAGCGUGGCCAGGAUGGGGGACAAGGCUGGGUGCUGGGGCAGCCCUGUGCUCACAUCUGGUUCCUCGGUGGCACAGCCCGGCCUUUGAAGCUGCUGAAGCUGGUCCCACCCAGGGGAAUGGCUGAGGAUGGGAUUUGUUCUUUUUCAAAGGCUUUGUUCCCCUGACAGCUGAGCUGGAGUCCAACCUGACUGUCCGCUGAAUCCAGCCC
This 1264-nucleotide long non-coding RNA is filed under the name Anas platyrhynchos platyrhynchos (common mallard). RNAcentral describes it as "lncRNA (ENSAPLG00000025174.1)". Lineage: Eukaryota; Metazoa; Chordata; Aves; Anseriformes; Anatidae. The record is from RNAcentral.